CCUACGGGAGGCAGCAGUGAGGAAUAUUGGUCAAUGGACGAGAGUCUGAACCAGCCAAGUAGCGUGAAGGAUGACUGCCCUAUGGGUUGUAAACUUCUUUUAUAUGGGAAUAAAACGUUCCACGUGUGGGAUUUUGUAUGUACCAUAUGAAUAAGGAUCGGCGAACUCCGUGCCAGCAGCCGCGGUAAUACGGAGGAUCCGAGCGUUGUCCGGAUUUAUUGGGUUUAACGGGAGCGUAGGUGGAUUGUUAAGUCAGUUGUGAAAGUUUGCGGCUCAACCGUAAAAGUGCAGUUGAAACUGGCAGUCUUGAGUACAGGAGAGGUGGGCGGAAUUCGUGGUGUAGCGGUGAAAUGCUUAGAUAUCACGAAGAACUCCGAUUGCGAAGGCAGUUCACUGGACUGCAACUGACACUGAGGCUCGAAAGUGUGGGUAUCAAACAGGAUUAGAUACCCUAGUAGUC
This 460-nucleotide ribosomal RNA is filed under the name uncultured bacterium. Its description in RNAcentral is "partial 16S ribosomal RNA". It matches the Rfam family "Bacterial small subunit ribosomal RNA", at positions 338 to 795 of the family's 1533-position model. The record is from RNAcentral.